GCUGGAUGUCAGAAGAAAGUGAAGCUCCCGAGUAUUCAGUACCAAAAAUCAUCUACACAUCAAGAACCCAUUCACAACUUACACAAGUCGUAAAUGAGCUGAAGAAUACGGUUUACAAACCCAAAGUAUGCGUGCUAGGUUCACGUGACCAGCUGUGCAUUCAUCCCCAGGUUCUUGAACAAGAAACGCACACGGCAAAG
Dendronephthya gigantea is the source of this 200-nucleotide long non-coding RNA. RefSeq lists it as uncharacterized. Lineage: Eukaryota; Metazoa; Cnidaria; Anthozoa; Malacalcyonacea; Nephtheidae. The record is from RefSeq and is a predicted model, not a curated record. The transcript has 3 exons.